Molecule: ribosomal RNA, 543 nt
Filed under: Platichthys flesus (European flounder)
Lineage: Eukaryota; Metazoa; Chordata; Actinopteri; Pleuronectiformes; Pleuronectidae
Description: partial small subunit ribosomal RNA
Rfam family: Bacterial small subunit ribosomal RNA
Source: RNAcentral
CAAAGGCUUGGUCCUGACUUUACUGUCGACUUUAACUAAACUUACACAUGCAAGUAUCCGCCCCCCUGUGAGAAUGCCCACAACUCCCUGCUUGGGAACUAGGAGCCGGUAUCAGGCACAAGCCCAGCUAGCCCACGACGCCUUGCUUAGCCACACCCUCAAGGGACCUCAGCAGUGAUAAAUAUUAAGCCAUAAGUGAAAACUUGACUUAGUUAAGGUUAAGAGGGCCGGUAAAACUCGUGCCAGCCACCGCGGUUAUACGAGAGGCCCAAGUUGACAAACAACGGCGUAAAGAGUGGUUAGGGGAUUUACUAAACUAGAGCCGAACGCUUUCAAAGCUGUUAUACGCACCCGAAAGUAUGAAACCCAAUUACGAAAGUAGCUCUACCUAUCCUGAACCCACGAAAGCUAAGGAACAAACUGGGAUUAGAUACCCCACUAUGCUUAGCCCUAAACAUCGAUUGCACCAUACACUCCAUAUCCGCCCGGGAAUUAUGAACGUCAGUUUAAAACCCAAAGGACUUGGCGGUGCUUAACAUCCAC